RNAcentral lists this ribosomal RNA (1009 nucleotides) under Enterobacter cloacae. RNAcentral's name for it is "partial 16S ribosomal RNA". It matches the Rfam family "Bacterial small subunit ribosomal RNA", at positions 419 to 1418 of the family's 1533-position model. The record is from RNAcentral. Lineage: Bacteria; Pseudomonadati; Pseudomonadota; Gammaproteobacteria; Enterobacterales; Enterobacteriaceae.
CGGGUUGUAAAGUACNUUUCANNCNGGGANNNNGUGUUGNNGGCUNNUNANNCNCAGCANUUGACGUNNNCCNCAGANGCAGCACCGGCUAACUCCGUGCCAGCANCNCGGUAAUACGGAGGGNGGCAAGCGUUAAUCGGAAUUACUGGGCGUAAAGCGCACGCAGGCGGUCUGUCAAGUCGGAUGUGAAAUCCCCGGGCUCAACCUGGGAACUGCAUUCGAAACUGGCAGGCUAGAGUCUUGUAGAGGGGGGUAGAAUUCCAGGUGUAGCGGUGAAAUGCGUAGAGAUCUGGAGGAAUACCGGUGNNGAAGGCGGCCCCCUGGACAAAGACUGACGCUCAGGUGNGAAAGCGUGGGGAGCAAACAGGAUUAGAUACCNUGGUAGUCCACGCCGUAAACGAUGUCGACUUGGAGGUUGUGCCCUUGAGGCGUGGCUUCCGGAGCUAACGCGUUAAGUCGACCGCCUGGGGAGUACGGCCGCAAGGUUAAAACUCAAAUGAAUUGACGGGGGCCCGCACAAGCGGUGGAGCAUGUGGUNUAAUUCGAUGCAACGCGAAGAACCUUACCUACUCUUGACAUCCAGAGAACUUAGCAGAGAUGCUUUGGUGCCUUCGGGAACUCUGAGACAGGUGCUGCAUGGCUGUCGUCAGCUCGUGUUGUGAAAUGUUGGGUUAAGUCCCGCAACGAGCGCAACCCUUAUCCUUUGUUGCCAGCGGUUAGGCCGGGAACUCAAAGGAGACUGCCAGUGAUAAACUGGAGGAAGGUGGGGAUGACGUCAAGUCAUCAUGGCCCUUACGAGUAGGGCUACACACGUGCUACAAUGGCGCAUACAAAGAGAAGCGACCUCGCGAGAGCAAGCGGACCUCAUAAAGUGCGUCGUAGUCCGGAUUGGAGUCUGCAACUCGACUCCAUGAAGUGGGAAUCGGUAGUAAUAGUAGAUCAGAACGNUACGGUGAAUCCCCCNCAGGGCUUUGUAGCAACCAGUAAUCACUAGAGGGGAUCCGGUUCA